ACGGGGGGGGCAAGCGUUGUUCGGAAUUACUGGGCGUAAAGGGCUCGUAGGUGGCCAACUAAGUCAAUCGUGAAGUCCCUCGGCUUAACCGGGGAACUGCGCUUGAUACUGGAUGGCUUGAGUUUGGGAGAGGGAUGCGGAAUUCCAGGUGUAGCGGUGAAAUGCGUAGAUAUCUGGAGGAACACCGGUGGCGAAGGCGGCAUCCUGGACCAAUACUGACGCUGAGGAGCGAAAGCAUGGGUAGCGAACAGGA
Molecule: ribosomal RNA, 253 nt
Filed under: uncultured prokaryote
Description: partial 16S ribosomal RNA
Rfam family: Bacterial small subunit ribosomal RNA
Source: RNAcentral